AUACGGAGGGUGCGAGCGUUAAUCGGAAUUACUGGGCGUAAAGCGCGCGUAGGCGGUUUGUUAAGUCGGAUGUGAAAUCCCCGGGCUCAACCUGGGACCUGCAUCCGAUACUGGCAGGCUAGAGUCUACUAGAGGGGGGUAGAAUUCCUGGUGUAGCGGUGAAAUGCGUAGAUAUCAGGAGGAAUACCAGUGGCGAAGGCGGCCCCCUGGACUGAGACUGACGCUGAGGUGCGAAAGCGUGGGGAGCAAACAGAAGUAGAUACCCCAGUAGUCC
RNAcentral lists this ribosomal RNA (274 nucleotides) under uncultured bacterium. RNAcentral describes it as "partial 16S ribosomal RNA". It matches the Rfam family "Bacterial small subunit ribosomal RNA", at positions 523 to 796 of the family's 1533-position model. The record is from RNAcentral.